RNAcentral lists this ribosomal RNA (639 nucleotides) under uncultured bacterium. RNAcentral describes it as "bacterial SSU rRNA". It matches the Rfam family "Bacterial small subunit ribosomal RNA", at positions 213 to 843 of the family's 1533-position model. The record is from RNAcentral.
UCGCGUUUUCGGAGCGGCCGAUAUCGGAUUAGCUAGUAGGUGAGGUAAAGGCUCACCUAGGCGACGAUCCGUAGCUGGUCUGAGAGGACGACCAGCCACACUGGAACUGAGACACGGUCCAGACUCCUACGGGAGGCAGCAGUGGGGAAUUUUGGACAAUGGGCGAAAGCCUGAUCCGGCCAUGCCGCGUGAGUGAAGAAGGCCUUCGGGUUGUAAAGCUCUUUCAGCCGGAAAGAAAACGCAUGGGUUAAUAACCUGUGUGGAUGACGGUACCGGAAGAAGAAGCACCGGCUAACUACGUGCCAGCAGCCGCGGUAAUACGUAGGGUGCGAGCGUUAAUCGGAAUUACUGGGCGUAAAGCGUGCGCAGGCGGUUUUGUAAGACAGAUGUGAAAUCCCCGGGCUUAACCUGGGAACUGCAUUUGUGACUGCAAGGCUAGAGUACGGCAGAGGGGGGUAGAAUUCCACGUGUAGCAGUGAAAUGCGUAGAUAUGUGGAGGAAUACCGAUGGCGAAGGCAGCCCCCUGGGUCGAUACUGACGCUCAUGCACGAAAGCGUGGGGAGCAAACAGGAUUAGAUACCCUGGUAGUCCACGCCCUAAACGAUGUCAACUAGGUGUUGGGGGAGGAGACUUCCUUAG